CCUACGGGAGGCUGCAGUGGGGAAUAUUGGACAAUGGGCGAAAGCCUGAUCCAGCUAUGCCGCGUGUGUGAAGAAGGCCUUCGGGUUGUAAAGCACUUUCAGUGGGGAAGAAAGCCUUGGGGCUAAUACCCUCGAGGAAGGACAUCACCCACAGAAGAAGCACCGGCUAACUCCGUGCCAGCAGCCGCGGUAAUACGGAGGGUGCGAGCGUUAAUCGGAAUUACUGGGCGUAAAGCGCGCGUAGGCGGUCUGAUAAGCCGGUUGUGAAAGCCCCGGGCUCAACCUGGGAACGGCAUCCGGAACUGUCAGGCUAGAGUGCAGGAGAGGAAGGUAGAAUUCCCGGUGUAGCGGUGAAAUGCGUAGAGAUCGGGAGGAAUACCAGUGGCGAAGGCGGCCUUCUGGACUGACACUGACGCUGAGGUGCGAAAGCGUGGGUAGCAAACAGGAUUAGAUACCCCUGUAGUC
This 465-nucleotide ribosomal RNA is filed under the name Vreelandella stevensii. RNAcentral's name for it is "partial 16S ribosomal RNA". It matches the Rfam family "Bacterial small subunit ribosomal RNA", at positions 338 to 795 of the family's 1533-position model. The record is from RNAcentral. Lineage: Bacteria; Pseudomonadati; Pseudomonadota; Gammaproteobacteria; Oceanospirillales; Halomonadaceae.